Molecule: ribosomal RNA, 252 nt
Filed under: uncultured bacterium
Lineage: Bacteria
Description: partial 16S ribosomal RNA
Rfam family: Bacterial small subunit ribosomal RNA
Source: RNAcentral
UACAGAGGGUGCAAGCGUUGUUCGGAAUUAUUGGGCGUAAAGGGCGCGUAGGCGGCGCGACAAGUCACCUGUGAAAUCCCCGGGCUUAACUCGGGGCCUGCAGGCGAAACUGUCGUGCUGGAGUAUGGGAGAGGUGCGUGGAAUUGCAGGUGUAGCGGUGAAAUGCGUAGAUAUCUGCAGGAACACCCGUGGCGAAAGCGGCGCGCUGGACCACUACUGACGCUGAGGAACGAAAGCUAGGGGAGCAAACAG